RNAcentral lists this ribosomal RNA (492 nucleotides) under uncultured bacterium. RNAcentral's name for it is "partial 16S ribosomal RNA". It matches the Rfam family "Bacterial small subunit ribosomal RNA", at positions 28 to 507 of the family's 1533-position model. The record is from RNAcentral.
GACGAACGCUGGCGGCGUGCUUAACACAUGCAAGUGGAGCGACGAACCAGGGCUUGCCCUGGGGCAGAGCCGCGAACGGGUGAGUAACACGUGGGUAACGUGCCCCGAUGACUGGGACAACCCGGGGAAACCCGGGCUAAUACCGGAUGUGCCCCCUCACAUCAGUGAGGUGUGUAAAGGAAGCUUCGGCCUCCGCAUCGGGAUCGGCCCGCGGCCCAUUAGCUUGUUGGUGAGGUAACGGCUCACCAAGGCUGCGAUGGGUAGCUGGUCUGAGAGGACGAUCAGCCACACUGGGACUGAGACACGGCCCAGACUCCUACGGGAGGCAGCAGUGGGGAAUCUUGCGCAAUGCGCGAAAGCGUGACGCAGCAACGCCGCGUGGGGGAAGACGGCCUUCGGGUUGUAAAACCCUGUCAGUUGGGACGAAGGUCGGGCGGUUAACAGCCGUUCCGGCUGACGGUACCUUCACAAGAAGCCCCGGCUAACUACGUG